RNAcentral lists this small nuclear RNA (304 nucleotides) under Myotis lucifugus (little brown bat). RNAcentral describes it as "7SK RNA". It matches the Rfam family "7SK RNA". From Rfam's summary of the family: 7SK was discovered as an abundant small nuclear RNA in the mid-70s but a possible function has only recently been suggested. Two independent studies have found that 7SK RNA binds the CDK9/cyclin T complex (known as elongation factor P-TEFb). The record is from Rfam by way of RNAcentral. Lineage: Eukaryota; Metazoa; Chordata; Mammalia; Chiroptera; Vespertilionidae.
GGAUGUGAGGGCGAUCUGGCUGUGACAUCUGUCUCUCCAUUGAUUGCACAUCUGUCACCCCAUUGAUCGCCAGGGUUGAUUCGACUGAUCUGGCUGGCUGGGUGGGUGUCCCCCUCCUCCCUCACCAAUCCAGGUGUGUCCCUCCUGAGGCUGUGGAUAGAGUAAAGAGGAGAACCUUCCCCCAGAGAAGAGGACCAGUCUUCGGUCAAGGGUAUAUGAGUAGCUGCGCUCCCUGCUAGAACCUCCAAACAAGCUCUCUCAAAAUGUAACUCACUUGCCAAUUCUCACUCACAACCAUUACAAU